RNAcentral lists this ribosomal RNA (447 nucleotides) under uncultured bacterium. RNAcentral describes it as "bacterial SSU rRNA". It matches the Rfam family "Bacterial small subunit ribosomal RNA", at positions 355 to 825 of the family's 1533-position model. The record is from RNAcentral.
UCGGGAAUUUUGGGCAAUGGGCGAAAGCCUGACCCAGCAACGCCGCGUGAAGGAUGAAGUAUUUCGGUAUGUAAACUUCGUAAGAAUAGGAAGAAUAAAUGACGGUACUAUUUGUAAGGUCCGGCUAACUACGUGCCAGCAGCCGCGGUAAUACGUAGGGACCAAGCGUUGUUCGGAUUUACUGGGCGUAAAGGGCGCGUAGGCGGUUUGUCAAGUCAGUUGUGAAAUCUCCGAGCUUAACUCGGAACGGUCAACUGAUACUGUCAAACUAGAGUACAGAAGGGGCAAUCGGAAUUCUUGGUGUAGCGGUGAAAUGCGUAGAUAUCAAGAGGAACACCUGAGGCGAAGGCGGCCACCUGGUUGGAUACUGACGCUGAGACGCGAAAGCGUGGGGAGCAAACAGGAUUAGAUACCCUCGUGGUCCCUGAGCGGGCUGGCAAGGCGCAU